UGGACGGACGGGUAGGAACGUAAACGUACGGUCGGGAACCUAACGUCCGACCAAAGAGGGGGGAUAACACUUGGAAACAGGUGCUAAUACCGCAUAACCAUAGUUACCGCAUGGUAACUAUGUAAAAGGUGGCUAUGCUACCGCUUUUGGAUGGGCCCGCGGCGCAUUAGCUAGUUGGUGGGGUAAAGGGCUUACCAAGGCAAUGAUGCGUAGCCGAACUGAGAGGUUGAUCGGCCACAUUGGGACUGAGACACGGCCCAAACUCCUACGGAAGGCAGCAG
Molecule: ribosomal RNA, 281 nt
Filed under: uncultured bacterium
Lineage: Bacteria
Description: partial 16S ribosomal RNA
Rfam family: Bacterial small subunit ribosomal RNA
Source: RNAcentral